Lathyrus oleraceus (garden pea) is the source of this 718-nucleotide long non-coding RNA. RefSeq lists it as uncharacterized. The transcript is spliced from 3 exons. The record is from RefSeq and is a predicted model, not a curated record. Lineage: Eukaryota; Viridiplantae; Streptophyta; Magnoliopsida; Fabales; Fabaceae.
AUAGCAGGAACAUAACGCCGGUACAAACCUCCACCGCGAGGCAAGAGAGAUUACGCGGCGGCGAACGGACAUAUACACUAAUAAAGACAGCGAACAAUAAUAAUAAAACAAAUUGUAAGCCAAAACUUCAGAGAAAAUGAAACGAAUAGAAAUUCUACAUUCACACAAACAAUAACAAGAAAUGAAGCGCAAGAUCGGAUGAGAGAGUGAGGUUUAAGGUCGGUGUGGCGGUUACCUCAGCUCCGGGUGGAGCAACGAAAGGGUUGCGAUGAAGGAGACAAUGGCGUAGCGGCUUUGUGGUAUGGAGGAGAACGCGAAGGUAGUGGAAAACGGGAAGGAGAGCGUUUGGGUUUGGUGAGGGUUCGCCUUUUCUCCUCCAAGAAAAAUAGUUUUUUUCGUUUUUUCUAUCUGAUUUCUUUUUGCUGGUGAACAGUCUCGCCGCUCAAUGAGAUGAAAGUUCUCCCUUUUAUAUUCAUCCUGCUAGGGUUUGGAAUUGGUCACUGAGAUCAAAAGAGUAUUGGAAUUGGGAGUGCUUGCGAUGUCGCCAGUUGUCUACCCCAUUUUGAUGUUUAUUCUGAAAAAGGUUGGUGUUGUAGUAGAAAUAUUCCAAUUUGAAUUUUGGGUUGCGGCGGCCGGAAGAAGUCAUAGACACGUUGGUGCCAAGACUAAGGUCGACCGUGUUGUUAUACUGUAGUCAAAUUGCUGCAGAAUGCUGAAU